GCUGGCGGCGGGCUUAACACAUGCAAGUCGAAGGAGAAGGUAGAAGCUUGCUUUUACUGGAGACUGGCGGACGGGUGAGUAACGCGUAGAUAACCUGCCUAUAGCUGGGGGAUAACACUGCGAAAGUGGUGCUAAUACCGCAUAAUGCAGCGGGGCCGCAUGGCCAUAGUUGUUAAAGGUUUCGACCGGCUAUAGAUGGGUCUGCGUGCUAUUAGUUAGUUGGUAGGGUAACGGCCUACCAAGGCGAUGAUAGCUAGGGGGUCUGAGAGGAUGAUCCCCCACACUGGGACUGAGACACGGCCCAGACUCCUACGGGAGGCAGCAGUGAGGAAUCUUGCGCAAUGGGCGAAAGCCUGACGCAGCCACGCCGCGUGCCGGAUGAAGGCCCUAUGGGUUGUAAACGGCUUUUACUAGGGAAGAACGAGAGGGUUUCGAUCUUCUGUGACGGUACCUAGUGAAUAAGCACCGGCUAACUCCGUGCCAGCAGCCGCGGUAAUACGGAGGGUGCAAGCGUUGUCCGGAAUCAUUGGGUGUAAAGGGUACGUAGGCGGGAGCCUAAGUCUGGGGUGAAAUCUUGCCGCUUAACGGUAAAAUGGCCCUGGAUACUGGGUUUCUUGAGUGCAGAAGAGGCAGGUGGAAUUCGUGGUGUAGCGGUGAAAUGCUUA
This 665-nucleotide ribosomal RNA is filed under the name uncultured bacterium. Its description in RNAcentral is "bacterial SSU rRNA". It matches the Rfam family "Bacterial small subunit ribosomal RNA", at positions 35 to 692 of the family's 1533-position model. The record is from RNAcentral.